UACGUAGGGAGCAAGCGUUGUCCGGAAUUACUGGGCGUAAAGGGCGCGUAGGCGGGAUCUUAAGUUAGAUGUGAAAACUCUGGGCUCAACCCGGAGACUGCAUUUAAAACUGGGAUUCUUGAGGGCAGGAGAGGAAAGUGGAAUUCCUAGUGUAGCGGUGAAAUGCGUAGAUAUUAGGAGGAACCCCAGUGGCGAAGGCGACUUUCUGGACUGUACCUGACGCUGAGGCGCGAAAGCGUGGGGAGCAAACGGG
This 253-nucleotide ribosomal RNA is filed under the name uncultured bacterium. RNAcentral describes it as "partial 16S ribosomal RNA". It matches the Rfam family "Bacterial small subunit ribosomal RNA", at positions 524 to 776 of the family's 1533-position model. The record is from RNAcentral.